AUGGAACAAGCUAGCAGUGCGCAGGAGGAGCUCAGCCUUGAGCUCACUCUGGCGAUGGCGGUGGCACCUGCGCCCAGCGGCUUCUUUCUCUGCGUCUACUGCGACCGCAAGUUCCGCAGCUCGCAGGCGCUCGGCGGCCACCAGAACGCGCACAAGACCGAGCGCAGCGUCGCCAAGCGCCGGCUGGAGAUGGCCGCCGCCAAGCGCCGGCGGGAGAUCGCCGCCGCCACGCGCGCGCAGCACGUGAGAUGCAAGCGCGCCAGAAGCUCGUUGGAGCGCGCCGACGAGGCCGAGCUGGACUUGUCUCUCCGGCUAUGA
RNAcentral lists this ribosomal RNA (318 nucleotides) under Triticum aestivum (bread wheat). RNAcentral describes it as "partial small subunit ribosomal RNA". Lineage: Eukaryota; Viridiplantae; Streptophyta; Magnoliopsida; Poales; Poaceae. The record is from RNAcentral.